RNAcentral lists this ribosomal RNA (526 nucleotides) under uncultured bacterium. RNAcentral describes it as "partial 16S ribosomal RNA". It matches the Rfam family "Bacterial small subunit ribosomal RNA", at positions 355 to 891 of the family's 1533-position model. The record is from RNAcentral.
UGGGGAAUAUUGCACAAUGGGCGCAAGCCUGAUGCAGCAACGCCGCGUGAGGGAUGACGGCCUUCGGGUUGUAAACCUCUUUUAGUAGGGAAGAAGCGAAAGUGACGGUACCUGCAGAAAAAGCACCGGCUAACUACGUGCCAGCAGCCGCGGUAAUACGUAGGGUGCGAGCGUUGUCCGGAAUUAUUGGGCGUAAAGAGCUCGUAGGCGGUCUGUCGCGUCUGCUGUGAAAACCCGAGGCUCAACCUCGGGCCUGCAGUGGGUACGGGCAGACUAGAGUGCGGUAGGGGAGAAUGGAAUUCCUGGUGUAGCGGUGGAAUGCGCAGAUAUCAGGAGGAGCACCGAUGGCGAAGGCAGUUCUCUGGGCCGUAACUGACGCUGAGGAGCGAAAGCGUGGGGAGCGAACAGGAUUAGAUACCCUGGUAGUCCACGCCGUAAACGUUGGGCGCUAGAUGUGGGGACCAUUCCACGGUUUCCGUGUCGCAGCUAACGCAUUAAGCGCCCCGCCUGGGGAGUACGGCCGCAA